AUGCACGCUGGCGGCGUGCCCAAUACCUGCAAGUCGCGCGAACAGACGAGGAGCUUGCUCCUUUGACGUUAGCGGCGGACGGGUGAGUAACACGUAGGUAACCUACCUAUAAGACUGGGAUAACUUCGGGAAACCGGAGCUAAUACCGGAUAAUAUUUCGAACCGCAUGGUUCGAUAGUGAAAGAUGGCUUUGCUAUCACUUAUAGAUGGACCUGCGCCGUAUUAGCUAGUUGGUAAGGUAACGGCUUACCAAGGCAACGAUACGUAGCCGACCUGAGAGGGUGAUCGGCCACACUGGAACUGAGACACGGUCCAGACUCCUACGGGAGGCAGCAGUAGGGAAUCUUCCGCAAUGGGCGAAAGCCUGACGGAGCAACGCCGCGUGAGUGAUGAAGGUCUUCGGAUCGUAAAACUCUGUUAUUAGGGAAGAACAAACGUGUAAGUAACUGUGCACGUCUUGACGGUACCUAAUCAGAAAGCCACGGCUAACUACGUG
This 496-nucleotide ribosomal RNA is filed under the name uncultured bacterium. Its description in RNAcentral is "partial 16S ribosomal RNA". It matches the Rfam family "Bacterial small subunit ribosomal RNA", at positions 29 to 507 of the family's 1533-position model. The record is from RNAcentral.